Molecule: ribosomal RNA, 253 nt
Filed under: uncultured bacterium
Lineage: Bacteria
Description: partial 16S ribosomal RNA
Rfam family: Bacterial small subunit ribosomal RNA
Source: RNAcentral
UACGUAGGGUCCGAGCGUUGUCCGGAGUUACUGGGCGUAAAGCGCGCGCAGGCGGCGGUGUUGGUCCGGCGUGAAAGCCCCCGGCUCAACCGGGGAGAGUCGUCGGGGACCGCACCGCUUGAGGGCGGUAGGGGCUGGUGGAAUGCCUGGUGUAGUGGUGAAAUGCGUAGAGAUCAGGCAGAACACCGGGGGCGAAGGCGGCCAGCUGGGCCGUCCCUGACGCUGAGGCGCGAAGGCGUGGGGAGCGAACGGG